This 1843-nucleotide long non-coding RNA is filed under the name Olea europaea (common olive). RNAcentral describes it as "long non-coding RNA (OEUR_LNC000456)". Lineage: Eukaryota; Viridiplantae; Streptophyta; Magnoliopsida; Lamiales; Oleaceae. The record is from RNAcentral.
AGCCUCAGCUCUGGGCAAGAUACGGUAUGCUAUUCUCGAUUAAACAGUUCUUCUCUUGUCCGGUUUGAAAGGUGUAAAUUUUUAUUCCCUGUUACGUAUUUGCUAUGAUAUGGAACAAAAGUUUGAUUUUGGAAGCUUUUGAGUGUUAUAUCUUUGCGUAGAUUGCUUUACAUCAUCAUAUAGUUCUUGGGAUAAAGAAAAAUUGGGGGAUGUGUAUAUGUAAGUUCGUGGAAUUAUUUUGUUUUCAUAUUUUCUUUGUGUAUUAUAGUGGUGUUAGUCAAGUACAUCUGUUAAGGAGUUCUCUUCAGUAUUCACUUCCUAAAACAAACUCAAAUAUUUUUAAAAUAGAGGAUUUUUGGAGUUGUUUUAAGUCUUAAGAUAUGCAUCAUUGCAAUUGUUAUCGAGGUGAAUGCUUAUAUUGUCCUUGCUUACAAAUCACAAUGAUUACUAAGAGCAUGUUUGGGAAGUGUUUAUAAGCAAUAUAAAUAAUAAAUAGAUAGAAAUGAGUGGUGGAUAAAUGGAUAGCAUAAAAAGUUAUAAACAUGAGCCAAACAUAGGCUAAAAUUUGCAAGACAUGAAUUGAUAGGUGGAAUAAAUUUAUGUAUGGGCUAAAUAAUUGGUCUGAUCCAUCAACACAAGGACAAAUUAAGCUUUGUUCCCCAUAAAUUUGAUACCCGCUAUAAUAUUCCUUUUUCUCCAUUUGGUUCUGUUCAUUGUUACUUCUUGUGGAAGAUCAGAAAAGAUUGAUCUUUUCAUAUAUCUAAUAGCUGUAUAGUUAGUAUUUUUGUGCAAAUAAUCCCCUGAUUCUGCUCGAAAUUUUCCGAAGUGAGACAUCUCAAAAAUCAAGCUAGAGCACAGCUAGGAAGGAAACUAUCCCUACUUACAUUAUAACAAAUCAAAUGCAGCUUGAAAAUUAGCUGAGAAGCAUCAUAAAAUUAUUCUUUGUGACAAUCUAUAUGCAAAAUAAACUAGUCUUAUACUACUGCAUUGCAACUAUGAAGUUACAAAAGAUAACCAGUCCAUUUUAUAAUAUUCAUAUGAUGAUUAUAAAGGUUUAUAAUAAUUCAAAAGCUAUUCUCCCGAGCUUCCAUAAUCACAUCCUUAUAAGGGUUCAAGUCUCCACAUUUGCAAGGAAUUUGCCCAUAAACUAUAUACACUAUUGCUUCUUUUCUUUCCGGUCUACAACAGUAUAAUUACCAUCGUUUUACUUUUGGAUGGGGAGACACAUAGUUAGCUACUAAGCCUGUUGAGUGGAGAGUGCAUUUAAGUGUGCAUUGAUGCAUUACAGUUAGUCCAAGAUAAUCCUAUUUACAGUAUAACCUCUAUAAACUGAUAGCCCUAAGACCAUAUAAAUUCUAUUAAUUAAUCGAUACAUUAACAAUUUAUUAAUUUAUAGAGUGUAUUUACAGUUUAACGAAUAUCCAUUUAAUCAGCUAAAAAGUCAUUGUAUUUUAAGGAAAUCAAUGUCCAUAAGCAAUAGCCCUGUUACCCCUUUUUUGUAAUUCAAGAAUUCAACCUAGAAAAUCUAGAUGCAAUAAAAAAAAUUAGAGAUGAGAUCCAACUAGAUUUAAGCAUCAAGAAAAAAACUAGUAACAAUAGUCAUAUUUUAAUAAAAUGUCAUAGUCGAUUUUAUUUGUAAUUUUAGCAAAUUAUUAAUUUAUGAUAUGUAUAGGACUAGACAGACUUAUCUAAGAGUUUUCAUGAAAGUAUUAUCUUGAUAAUCUAUCGAAAUUAUUUAUUUAGCCUAUUAGGACUAGACAGACUUAUCUAAGAGUUUUCAUGAAAGUAUUAUCUUGAUAAUCUAUCGAAAUUAUUUAUUUAGCCUAUUAGCCUAAGUCGGGAC